RNAcentral lists this transfer-messenger RNA (365 nucleotides) under invertebrate metagenome. RNAcentral describes it as "transfer-messenger RNA, SsrA". It matches the Rfam family "transfer-messenger RNA". From Rfam's summary of the family: Bacterial tmRNA, also known as 10Sa RNA or SsrA, is named for its dual tRNA and mRNA-like properties. The record is from RNAcentral.
GGGGGCGAUUAGGAUUCGACGACGAUUGCGAACCCUGAGGUGCAUGUCGAGCGCGUAGUGGCUCUCGUAAAUCAAAACGCUACAAACCUUUAGUUGCAAACAAUGCAAACUACCAAGGAGCGAUGGCUGCCUAAAAACAGCGUCCUCCCGAUCACUCGGGCUUGCCUGCUGGCUUGAAAUGAUCGUAACCGAAAACAGGAUCGCCACGGCGGCUGCCUGAGGCCAAAGGGUUAAACAAUAUCAGGAUCGCUUGGUAUCAUCCUGCCCGUCGGAUGUUAUCGAGUUAACCUAAAGACGGAUCUAAGCAUGUAGAGCCAAAGGCAGAGAAUUGGCGGACGCGGGUUCAAGUCCCGCCGCCUCCACCA